Long non-coding RNA from Lolium rigidum, 3432 nucleotides. RefSeq lists it as uncharacterized. The transcript is spliced from 3 exons. The record is from RefSeq and is a predicted model, not a curated record. Lineage: Eukaryota; Viridiplantae; Streptophyta; Magnoliopsida; Poales; Poaceae.
UCCACUUCCACCACGUCGUCGACCCGUGCCGCCUCCCCUGCGCUUGCCGCUGCUAUUUUCCGCCUCCUUCCGCGUAUUGCCCUCUCCAAGUGGAACCCGUCCAAGCGCGGGACCUUUUUCCGCUCGCUGUCUCCGGCCUCGGCACCGGCGAGCUCGCGCCCAUGGAGGAUGCCGUCGGCGAGCCCGCAGUCAUGGAGGGAGUCAUCGGUGAUAUUUCCCGCGACGGAUUCCGUAUCGACUCGGCCAACGGCAACGCCUUCAUGCGCCAGUUCUUUGGUCUUUUAUUGUUCUUGCUCAUAAGAUUGUGAACUCAUUUUUUUUUCGAUAACAAAGAUUGUGAACUCAUGCAUUCUUCCGUCAGGUUCUGAACCAUCACCAUGCAAUCUCUUGUUUUUAUUACAUGGCCUAUCAACCUGUUUUGGUUCAAUGAUGUUUGUCUCUAAUUUUGCUUCCAUUGAUUCUGGUUUUCCCGUGCCUUUUUAUGUAUAGGUCCGUUUAUGAAUGCGUGCAGUGGUCCCGUCGCCUCCACCGGUUCCGCGUCUGCAUCUUCGUCUUGACAAUGUUAUUGGCUGGUAGAUGAUCUGGUUCUCUUGCUGCUAUGCGUGCAGGGGCGUGAAAGAUCUGCAGGUUGUGGAAGUGCUGCUACGCUUGCAAGGCGAGGUACACCACUAGGUCGUGGAUAGACUAUGGAGUAGGUCUCCACUCUAUACGUGCAUGAGGCCGCGGUCUCAGCUGUUCAAUAUUUGCAUGUUCUGCCUUCUACUUGGCUUAGUUAAAAUUGGGGAGGCGUGCAUCAGAAACUAAGAGCUGCAGAGUUAUCGGCAUUAAACUGACUACUGGUUCCUGUUUUAUCUGAAUUUGCUAGCUGAUGAAUUGAGAUCAAUGGUAUGUCUGAAAUGUUUCUAGGUAUUCUGAAUUUUAGUGUUAUUGCCUUUCAUCCUAUAAAGUGCCUGUAUUAUAAAUUCACUACUGUACAUGUUGCCGGUGAAUUUGUCACUGGACAGGAAUACACUGGAUGGUUAGUUUAUGCACAUUUUACUGUUACAUUUAUUCUUCUUGUUUUUUUUUUUAAAUUGACAGGUUUUCUGACAGGAUGAUUUCAAUACACACGUUCCUCAGAUUAGGCAGACACAUUUGUGUGCGGUGGUGAGUUAGGACUGUUCGUGGCUUCCCAUGUCUUCAAAUACGACCAAGAGUACGACAAAGAAGAUCCAGUAUGAGUUCAGUAUCAUGGCUUUGGCCAUUAUGAUUCCCUACAGAUUGCACACCGAUCUGCAAUGAUAAGAAUGUAUAAUAUUGGAGUUCGAAAUUCAAAAGGUAUGGUCAAGGUAUUAUAGUCUUUGUCUUUCCAUAUCUAUACAUUGUUGAGUGAUACAGUGAGAGUGAAUUUUAAAUUUUUAGCCUCAAUGUGCAUUACAAGCUUUGCAGCAUUAGCUAUGUCAAGAACCCAGAUUCGGAUGUCCUUUGUUGAACUAGAAUGAAUGAUAGUGGACAAACCAUACUUCAAAAAUAUUUUUCAAACGUUCCUUUGAUCUACUUUGAAUGUAUCAUGAUGCCUCUUCGGCUUUUGUUUAACAUUACGGGAUCUUGGAUUGCGUAAACGAUGCCAUUAUGAUAUGUACUCCCUCCGGUUGGAUUUAAUCGACGCGGAGGGAGGCUUCCGCAUGCAUCUCAUUAGCAGGAGUGUGCGUCAAUUAAUUGAGCCCGAGGUAGUAAUAUUCAGUUCAAUAUUUCCUUUGGCUGUUAAUUUUUAGAUACCUACACGGAAAUUUGUGUUUGAGUACUUUUUUUUUGGAAAACGAUAUGAUUCGAGCAAAAGCUAACUACAACAUAUCAUAUCUCUUUUUUCUCUAUAAGCAUACAUCUCUUUCAGAAAUGCACAUGGAUAGGAGAAAGAAGUUAAAUCGUAUGAGAUGAUUCUUAUUGUUCUAUUUUUUUGUGGUCUACUGAUAUAUUUUGGAUUCUUUUCAUCUGUUGUAUUUCUUUUAGGUUUGCAUAGGAAUUGUUCAACUGUUCCUGGACCUUUGCCCUUAAUUGAUUGGUAGACACGUUUAUCUGCUGGUUAGCCUUUGAUGGUGAUAACCCUUUCUUUAUUUACAGUGUUAGUUUCAUGCAGAUGAAACUAGGUAACUUACAUCUCUCUGUUGCUGCACAUUUUGAGCUAAACAGACUUCUUGUCAUGUGCUUCUCUAUUUCGUCUGAUGGAUUAUUUUAUCUGUCACUUCUAUACCUUGGCACAUCUGUAGUUCUUUGUUAGUUCAAAUCUUAAAGUAAGCUUCAGUUAAAUAAAAUAUGUUUCAUCUGACCAUAAGACAUUAAUUCUAAACUUUUCUCCUUGCAGUAAAUACCAAGAUUUCACCUCCAGCAACAGGUAAGCUAACCUAAAAGAGAGAAGGAAAUAAGUAUUCAAACUGAUGGGGCAGAUAAUCUGCAUCGAGGUAUCCAUUUUGUCAGCACCUGCCAUCGAAAAUACCGUGUAAAAUGUUAUCCUUCUACCUACUGAUUUAGCAAGUCUAAAAACUAUCAAUGUGCCCUCAUAUCAAUCCCUUAAGUAUCCAUAUAAUGCUACACAUUUUUUAACCACCUACCUAUUGCUGUAAAAAGCCUGCACACUACCAAUGAACCCUAACAUCAAGUAGGUAAGUAUCCAUGCAUAAGCAUAAUAUUUUUGUACUCGGUUUGGUCCCAAUGUGCUUAAGUAUCCCAUUUCAUUGAUUUUCUGAACCAUCAAUAAUCGAGAUGGGAUUUCCAGUUGGUUUAGGGUCACAUAUAUUAUGCCUCAGUAUGUAGAGUUCUCAAAUAAAUCAUGACUAGGAGGUAUUCCGCCUUUUGCUAUUUUGUUUUUGUUUUGAUUCACUAUCUUCUGAAUCUACUCAUUCUGUUCCUUCUUCAGUUGUUUUACGUCCAUAUGUCUUUUGCUCUUUUUUCUUGAACAUACAAAGCAGUUUGUUAGUUUUGGAAUUUGUGUAUUGUGAUUAAAGUAGGGAACACCCUGUAUUUUUCAGAUUUUUUAUCUAUACAGUUACAUAUGUGGCAUUUUUAAAUUUAUCAAGGUGUUAUGGCAUUCAUCCUUGAGACCAAGAUGCAAAAUGCCAAGCAACAGUGUAAUAUAAAAAGCUCAUUGUUUGUCUAAGCUGGCACUUACAGAAAAGGUAUUCGUGGCUAAAUGUCUACUGAAAGCAGAAUUACAGGGACUGAAACAGGAUUCCUUACAGAGGGAGAAAAAAGGUCUACGGCAUGUCUCCACAAAGUGACAUACAUAGAAGCCAAGGAAAGCAACAAAAUGAAGGGCUGACAAUAAAAAUGUAUUUAAUUAAUUCAUAUAUUCAGUAAUAUAUGCACAUGUUACCACUCACUAUGUUGAUUUUGUGAUAUAUCGAAUUUUUUUUUUUUGAAACGAGUGGCAAAAGAUUUGCCACUUUUCAUUAAUUA